UGCGUAGGCGGCUUCUUAAGUCGGAUGUGAAAUCCCUGAGCUUAACUUAGGAAUUGCAUUCGAUACUGGGAAGCUAGAGUAUGGGAGAGGAUGGUAGAAUUCCAGGUGUAGCGGUGAAAUGCGUAGAGAUCUGGAGGAAUACCGAUGGCGAAGGCAGCCAUCUGGCCUAAUACUGACGCUGAGGUACGAAAGCAGUGGGGAGCAAACA
Molecule: ribosomal RNA, 208 nt
Filed under: uncultured bacterium
Lineage: Bacteria
Description: partial 16S ribosomal RNA
Rfam family: Bacterial small subunit ribosomal RNA
Source: RNAcentral